This is a non-coding RNA of Paramuricea clavata, 2003 nucleotides long. The record is from the annotation of a GenBank genome assembly. NCBI's taxonomy places the organism in Eukaryota, Metazoa, Cnidaria, Anthozoa, Malacalcyonacea, Plexauridae.
AACUUUUUGUUACCAACAAACCAUCUAUCAUUUCUCCACAAUCGGUAUAGUAUGGUCCUUUUUUGUAGAUGCCCCCCCCCCCACCCCGCUGACAAAUUCUUCAAAAAUGUCCUGCUUAGAAACACUAGUCACUAGACAUGCAGUUAUUGUUUACCUAUGUCUGCUGAUCUGUAGAAUUCAGUAUAGAACACUAUACAUUUAUCGAGUAUAUCUGUAGUAUUACAUGUUAAUUGUUUCAGUGUGGGUAUUAAAUUGGGAAAUUCGAAAUAUAUAAUAGCUUCGGGUUUCAGGAACUUUACGAUACUUCACGUAUUUAUAGGACACUGUCUUUAAAAUAUGCGAAAGUCAAAUAUAAACUAUAAAUUGCCUGAAUCUCAUGAUUUUCCUAGAAAAAGCAUCGUUGGAAAUGUGAUUUAUCACGUAGUAUUUUACAACUAAAAGGGCACUUCUCCCCCCCCCCCCCACUAGCAAAAGGCAAGGGGGGCAGCCGCUCCCCCUGCCCCCCCCCCCCAGUUCCAGCGUCCCUGUAUAAAUUUAUGCUAUUUUACUCACAUGUUGCUCGUACUGCGUAACAUUUUCUCUUUGUCCCACAGUCGCCAGAAGUCAACAGCACGUUCCCCUCUUUAUGUACGUACACGAACGACUAGCUUCUAUUUUCUUCCUAUUUCAUGCUCGAUAAUAAAUCUCUCCUGCAUUUUUCUUUCCCUCUCAGAUCUUUUUUCUCUUUAAAACAUCCCUGUAUAUCUCUCUCGCUCUUUCUUGUUUAAUUAUUUUUAGUCUUUUACGACGAAUUCCUCGAUCGUGUUCGGCCUGGAAAGCCGACCUAGCUUCGAAAGUAUAUGCUCGCUCUGUCUCGCUGGUUGCACUGAGAUUUCUCCCAGAUCGUGACGUAUCCCACCAUUAGCAAGUGCGCCACUCGCUGUGUGGAAUGUCGUGUUAAAAUGCGCCAUUUCAACUGACUUUACGUAAGCUCAUACGACCAGACGAAACAGAGAAAAAGCAUAUUAUUUCUUGAGAUUUGCCGUCCUUGCUUCCUGAUCGAUGAUCAAGUGCAAAUUCCCGCGCGCGCGCUUUGUUUACAUAUUGCUGCACAAAUAUUACCUUCCCCUCCCUCCCUCAGGCAGGUCAAACAAUUGUCUGUUCGCUUGCUGUAUAUUUUGCAGUACUGGAAUGGAAAAUUUUGACCAAAUAUAACUGUUAUUUCUAUCUGCAGUUGUGCAGGUAACGUCAAUUUUACGGAUGAUGGUAUAUUAGUGUUCUACUGAGCGAAUUUUUGGCCAGAUGUUGCUCGUCGAAACCAGUUUAGACCCCGUGAAAGUAUACGUGUAAUUUGAGUUAUUUUACAAACAGGAUGGCAUUCCCGUUGUGCGUAUAUGUAUACUCGUCCAAUCGGAAGAUAUUUCGUUAAUUCCCACUCAAUUUUGGAUUUUUAUGAUGAGGUUUAACCGUCACUAUCGUUCAAGGUUCACAAACAGGGUUUUCGUCCAUCCAAAGUACAUUUGAGUUACUGAGCUAAACUUCAGCAAGUCUCGUAUGGUAAUAUAAAUAUGGCUGUGUCGUUAUCUGACCAAUAUGUCCUGUUUAUAUACUACAAAACGUCGGCCAGGAGAACAGGCUCUUACGAAAACAGUUAAUAUUAAAGACGACUAUAAACGAGACGAAGUUGUCCAUCGAAGAUACUGUACGAAGGUUGAUAAAAUGGACAAUUUGUCAAACAGAACUGCGAGACACUUUGCCAAAGCUAUGCAGGGUAAGCAUUUGUACUUAUAUCUGAUAAAUUGUGUAUACAUGUCAUUUCAAUGGUAUAGAACGCUCUGAUUUAAUGAAAGUUUAGGCUCCUAAAAUAAUUGCGCCAAAUAUUCAAAGGCUAAUUCAAGAUUGCUGAACUCAGUCAUAGAUGCUGUUUAAUAAUUUAUUACAUGUAAAUCACUGCUAAAAAUACUACAGUAUAUACCCCAUUUACUGUAUAUAUAUUAUAGAACCCUUGUCUCUGCCCUUGGCAG